AGAGUUUGAUCCUGGCUCAGAGCGAACGCUGGCGGCAGGCUUAACACAUGCAAGUCGAGCGGGCGUAGCAAUACGUCAGCGGCAGACGGGUGAGUAACGCGUGGGAACAUACCUUUUGGUUCGGAACAACACAGGGAAACUUGUGCUAAUACCGGAUAAGCCCUUACGGGGAAAGAUUUAUCGCCGAAAGAUUGGCCCGCGUCUGAUUAGCUAGUUGGUGAGGUAACGGCUCACCAAGGCGACGAUCAGUAGCUGGUCUGAGAGGAUGAUCAGCCACAUUGGGACUGAGACACGGCCCAAACUCCUACGGGAGGCAGCAGUGGGGAAUAUUGGACAAUGGGCGCAAGCCUGAUCCAGCCAUGCCGCGUGAGUGAUGAAGGCCCUAGGGUUGUAAAGCUCUUUUGUGCGGGAAGAUAAUGACGGUACCGCAAGAAUAAGCCCCGGCUAACCUCGUGCCAGCAGCCGCGGUAAUACGAAGGGGGCUAGCGUUGCUCGGAAUCACUGGGCGUAAAGGGUGCGUAGGCGGGUCUUUAAGUCAGGGGUGAAAUCCUGGAGCUCAACUCCAGAACCGCCUUUGAUACUGAAGAUCUUGAGUUCGGGAGAGGUGAGUGGAACUGCGAGUGUAGAGGUGAAAUUCGUAGAUAUUCGCAAGAACACCAGUGGCGAAGGCGGCUCACUGGCCCGAUACUGACGCUGAGGCACGAAAGCGUGGGGAGCAAACAGGAUUAGAUACCCUAGUAGUCC
RNAcentral lists this ribosomal RNA (744 nucleotides) under uncultured bacterium. RNAcentral's name for it is "bacterial SSU rRNA". It matches the Rfam family "Bacterial small subunit ribosomal RNA", at positions 8 to 796 of the family's 1533-position model. The record is from RNAcentral.